RNAcentral lists this ribosomal RNA (490 nucleotides) under uncultured bacterium. RNAcentral describes it as "partial 16S ribosomal RNA". It matches the Rfam family "Bacterial small subunit ribosomal RNA", at positions 30 to 507 of the family's 1533-position model. The record is from RNAcentral.
AUUGAACGCUGGCGGCAGGCCUAACACAUGCCAGUCGAACGGUAACAGAAAGCAGCUUGCUGCUUUGCUGACGAGUGGCGGACGGGUGAGUAAUGUCUGGGAAACUGCCUGAUGGAGGGGGAUAACUACUGGAAACGGUAGCUAAUACCGCAUAACGUCGCAAGACCAAAGAGGGGGACCUUCGGACCUCUUGCCAUCGGAUGUGCCCAGAUGGGAUUAGCUAGUAGGUGGGGUAACGGCUCACCUAGGCGACGAUCCCUAGCUGGUCUGAGAGGAUGACCAGCCACACUGGAACUGAGACACGGUCCAGACUCCUACGGGAGGCAGCAGUGGGGAAUAUUGCACAAUGGGCGCAAGCCUGAUGCAGCCAUGCCGCGUGUAUGAAGAAGGCCUUCGGGUUGUAAAGUACUUUCAGCGGGGAGGAAGGGAGUAAAGUUAAUACCUUUGCUCAUUGACGUUACCCGCAGAAGAAGCACCGGCUAACUCCGUG